GCAAACUUGGUCAUUUAGAGGAAGUAAAAGUCGUAACAAGGUCUCCGUUGGUGAACCAGCGGAGGGAUCAUUACUGAGUGUUAAAACUCCCAAACCCUAUGUGAACAUACCUCUGUUGCCUCGGCGGGGCGAUUCGACCGCGGGAGGACCUACCCUGUACUUACCCUGUAGACCUUACCCUGUAAGACCUACCCGGUAACUUACCCUGUAGUAGUCCGACUGCGGCGGAUGGCCCUGCCAGAGGACCACUGAAACUCUGAAUUUUUGGCACGUCUGAGUAACUGUAUAAAUAAGUUAAAACUUUCAACAACGGAUCUCUUGGUUCUGGCAUCGAUGAAGAACGCAGC
This 347-nucleotide unclassified non-coding RNA is filed under the name uncultured fungus. RNAcentral describes it as "partial contains small subunit ribosomal RNA, internal transcribed spacer 1, and 5.8S ribosomal RNA". The stretch from base 1 to 73 matches the Rfam family "Eukaryotic small subunit ribosomal RNA", at positions 1759 to 1831 of the family's 1831-position model. Lineage: Eukaryota; Fungi. The record is from RNAcentral.